Molecule: RNA transcript, 2291 nt
Organism: Hylaeus volcanicus
Lineage: Eukaryota; Metazoa; Arthropoda; Insecta; Hymenoptera; Colletidae
Gene name: pre-mRNA-splicing factor SLU7-like
Exons: 7
Source: RefSeq, a predicted model, not a curated record
UGAGUUGAGUCUGGUGUUAGCAGUUAAACAGGGUGAAGUUCAGUGAAAAAAAUUCGCCAUUCGAUUUUGCUUUAUAAUAAAAAAUGCGUCAUUUCAUUCAACCAAAAGUAAAGAUGUCCAUUUUUUUUUAAUAAUAAAAAAACAAUUUUUUUUAAUAGUAUUUGAUUGAGCAGCUAUAGAUAUAUGCCCGUCGGUUCUGAGGUUGUCACAACAAGUAACAAUUCAACCCAUCAAAAUGAGGCAUUGUUUUCAAACAACGGACAACUUUCGUUCAAUUCACGAGAAGAUUCAAAAAAAAAGCGGGAAUUAGAUGAAGCGAGAAAAUCUGGACUUAUUCCAGCUGAAAAGGACGAAGAGGGCAGAGACAUUAAUCCUCAUAUUCCCCAGUAUAUCGCGAAGGCUCCUUGGUAUUUAAGUCGUGGGCCUGCUCCUUCGUUAAAGCAUCAAAGAUUUCAAGCAGAACAGCAACGAAAUCCCCAAAGAUGGUAUACCCGUGGUGUCAUUCAAACAGACACUCCUUUGAAAUUUCGUCAAGGUGCUUGCUCGAAUUGCGGAGCGAUGACACAUGAUAAGAAAGAAUGUACUGAACGGCCUCGUUUGAAAGGAGCCAAGUGGUCGGGAGUCAACAUUUGUCCAGAUGAACUGAUUGUAAAAGAUAGUUCUGAGUUACAACUUGACUUUGAUGGGAAGCGUGAUCCAUAUGGAGGGUAUGACCCGGUCACAUAUCAUUUAGUUAUUCGUGAUUUUGAGCUCCUUGAUCAAGAGCGUAAAAGACGCAAAGUUUUAGAACUUCAGGAAAAGGCCAUGACACCGAAGGCAUUAUCUGUCACAAAUCCAGUUCCCGGUCAUAAUGACACUAGCCAUGAUGCAGAAGAGACAGAACGUCUUGAAGGCAACCCAGACGAUGAUGAUGAUGUGAAGGUAAAAGAAUUUGAUCAGACAAAUGCCCCGGUCGGAAUGAAGGACAAUCACACUAGGACAACCACUAUGAAUUUGCGUAUUCGAGAAGAUACUGCAAAAUACCUUUUUAAUUUGGAUGUCAAUUCGGCAUUUUACGAUCCGAAGACUCGAAGUAUGCGGGACAAUCCGAUGCGUCACCUGAAGGAAUCGGAACAAGGAAUUUAUAGAGGCGAUAAUGCUAUGCGUUACACUGAAGACAACAAAUGUGUCACUAAAAUGGAGAUUUUUUCUUGGGAAGCUUACAAACAUAAUGUUAAUGUUCAUGCUCAAGCCCAGCCUACUCAACUGGAGUUAAUGCAUAAAGAAUUUCACAGGAAACAACAGCAUUUAGCUGAUUUGAAGAAAAAGAAUUUACUUACAAUAUAUGGAGGCGCUGAACAUCUAGAUGUUCCACAAAGCCUUUUGUUAUCACAAUCUGAAGUUUAUCAUGAAUUCAAUCCAACAGAUGGCCGAGUUAAAACAAAAAAAAGCCAAAUAAUGAUAAAAUCGAAAUAUACGGAAGACGCAUUUUUUGGUGAACAUACAGCAGUUUGGGGAUCCUGGUAUAAUCAACAAGAUGAUUCUUGGGGUUAUGCUUGCUGUUAUGGCAAGGACAUCAAUUCUCCAGAGUGCUCUGGUGUAGUCUUUUAAAUUGGUUGAGGAAGCGAGUAUAUCUAUUUUUUAUAAUUGAUUCUUUCGGUAUUUGAGAAAGAAAUAGAGUUAAUAAUAAUUAUGCCAAUAAAAAAAAAUUACUCUUAAUUGAAAAGAAUAAUCUUAUUGUUUUCUAAUGUCCAUCCGAUGAUAUGAAUGGUUUUUAAGCCUUAUCAAGCUACUGGUUCAAAUAGAUCACUUUGAAGGUGUACGAAUACUUUUAGCAAACUUUACUUUGCAUCUAAAAAAAUUUUGGUUAAUAAAUACUAGAAUUUUUUUAAUACGGCAUUUUAAAGUGUUCUGAUUCUGUCUCGCAUGUAAUUUGAUCUUCAUUAAACCCCUUCAUGUUGUUUUCCACUGAAUUUUGUGGUCUUAUUAGAUUUAACUAAUUAAAACUUUUUUUUAAAAUAUUUUUUGUUGUAAACAUUUGGAAAAAAAAAUGUUACUACAAUGGUAUCGUGCAGAAGCUUAUUUCUUUAUGAAACAUUAUGCAACUAAAAACGUCGAAAGUACUACAUUGAAGAGGUAGAACCUAAUGAAACGUCGUUCAAUAGAAUGCCAAUUGUUACACUCACCCGGCUAGGUCGUUAUAAUUGUCACUAUGUCAAUUAUUGAAUCAUUACAAGCAUGGGUUAAAUUGUUACUUUUACAAUUACACUAAAAAAACUGCACUUUUUAGAUGGGGAGAGUGAGGUUUUGUU